Long non-coding RNA from Oncorhynchus tshawytscha (Chinook salmon), 441 nucleotides. The record is from Ensembl. NCBI's taxonomy places the organism in Eukaryota, Metazoa, Chordata, Actinopteri, Salmoniformes, Salmonidae.
UUAAUAUGAUAGAAUGUCAGGGUGUUAUAUCAUGUUGUUAUGUCAGGGGUUAUGUCAGGGUGUAAUGUCAGGGUGUAAUGUCAGGGUGUUAUGUCAGGGUGUUAUGUCAGGGGGUAAUGUCAGGGUGUUAUCAGGGGUUAUGUCAGGGUGUUAUCAGAGUGUAAUGUCAGGGUGUAAUGUCAGGGUGUUAUGUCAGGGGUUAUAUCAGGGUGUAAUGUCAGGGUGUAAUGUCAUGGGGUUAUAUCAGGGUGUAAUGUCAGGGUGUAAUGUCAGGGUGUAAUGUCAGGGUGUUAUGUCAGGGGGUUAUGUCAGGGGGUUAUUUCAGGGUGUUAUUUCAGGAUGUGGUUGCAAUAUAUGAGAUAGAUGUGAAUCCUAUUACGCUAUGAUCCAUAGAUCAUCUAUUUUAGAGAAAUUGUGGGUAUCAACAGUCAUACAGCGUGA